Molecule: ribosomal RNA, 426 nt
Filed under: uncultured bacterium
Lineage: Bacteria
Description: partial 16S ribosomal RNA
Rfam family: Bacterial small subunit ribosomal RNA
Source: RNAcentral
GUGGGGAAUAUUGCGCAAUGGGGGGAACCCUGACGCAGCAACGCCGCGUGAAGGAUGAAGGUUUUCGGAUUGUAAACUUCUUUGACGAGGGACGAAAAAUGACGGUACCUCGAAAACAAGCCACGGCUAACUACGUGCCAGCAGCCGCGGUAAUACGUAGGUGGCGAGCGUUGUCCGGAAUUACUGGGCGUAAAGGGCGCGUAGGCGGGAAUUUAAGUAAGGUGUGAAAACUCCGGGCUCAACCUGGAGACUGCACUUUAAACUGGAUUGCUUGAGGGAAGGAGAGGAAAGUGGAAUUCCUAGUGUAGCGGUGAAAUGCGUAGAUAUUAGGAGGAACACCAGUGGCGAAGGCGACUUUCUGGACUGUACCUGACGCUGAGGCGCGAAAGCGUGGGGAGCGAACAGGAUUAGAAACCCUGGUAGUCC